CCUACGGGCGGCAGCAGUGGGGGAUAUUGCACAAUGGGCGGAACCCUGAUGCAGCGACGCCGCGUGGGUGAAGGAGUGCUUCGGCAUGUAAAGCCCUAUUGGCAGGGAAGAAGAAAGACGGUACCUGACUAAGAAGCCCCGGCUAACUACGUGCCAGCAGCCGCGGUAAUACGUAGGGGGCGAGCGUUAUCCGGAUUCACUGGGGUUAAAGGGAGCGUAGACGGCCAUGGAAGCCAGGGGUGAAAGCCCGGGGCCCAACCCCGGGACUGCCGUUGAAACUGCAUGGCUAGAGUGCGGGAGCGGCAGGCGGAAUGCCUGGUGUAGCGGUGAAAUGCGUAGAGAUCAGGAGGAACACCGACUGCGAAGGCAGCCU
This 373-nucleotide ribosomal RNA is filed under the name uncultured bacterium. Its description in RNAcentral is "partial 16S ribosomal RNA". It matches the Rfam family "Bacterial small subunit ribosomal RNA", at positions 338 to 727 of the family's 1533-position model. The record is from RNAcentral.